This is a long non-coding RNA of Homo sapiens (human), 3040 nucleotides long. Ensembl annotates it as TMEM72 antisense RNA 1. Its record names the gene TMEM72-AS1. The record is from Ensembl. NCBI's taxonomy places the organism in Eukaryota, Metazoa, Chordata, Mammalia, Primates, Hominidae.
CACCCUCAGACAUAGGGAGUGACAGGGACGAGGGAGGAUGCAAACAGCUGAGACUGUGGAGAGCCGGCUCGUUUCCAGGCGGUGUUGCUGCCUUCGCCUUGCCAAUGAGGACAGUCGGACACAGGGAAGAAGGGGCUCCACCAGCAGCACCCAGCGAGCACCCGGCAUGCCUGGGAUUCGAGUGCAGGCCUGUCUGAUUCUGUAGGGAGGAGAAAAUCUUCUUUCCUCUACCCCUCUAGGUUCUCUGGCUGGGGCUCUGAAAGAGACUGACAAAGGCAGAUUAACGAGAGAAAAACAGACACGAGUUUAUUACCACGUGCAUCACGCACACCCAUGGGAACGUCCGCACUUUGUCCCAGGAAUGGGGUCUGUAAUUCAGGGACCUGUAGAAGUUCACAGUGUGAGAGGAAUGAAGUGUCCAAUCUGCAAUCUGAAUCUUCCCUAUGAAAUUUCCACCUGGUGCCCUCCAGCGCAGAUUCUCGCACCCACAGUCCUGCCUUACAGGGCAGACCAUUUCCUCUCUGACAGUACUACCUGUCUGAAUGUUCUGCUUCAAACUGAGUCAAGAUAUGUGAACCCUGGGUAGAAGAAUUAUCAGGUCUGGAGGGAGCACAAGCAAACUAUCCCAUUUUAUGGACGUGGAAACCGAGGCCUGAGGGAGAGACGCACCAGGAAUCAGGAGAUCUGGCUCUGAUCAGCUGUACAAAUUGAGAAUUGUGACCUGACCUUGUCCAACCCAAGUGGCCCAACUCCUAAUUCUGUGAGUGACAUGUCUCUGUUACUUUGGAAUAUUGAUUGAAGAUGCCAUUAAGAACAUUCAUGAUUCAUGAGAGGAGAUCAAAAUAUCAACAUAAACAGGAGUUUGAAAGAAGUUGAUUUCAACCCUUGUGGAUGACUAUGAGAGAUUCAAGGCUUCAGUGGAGAAUGCACCUACAGAUAUGGUGGAAACAGCAAAAGAAAUAGAAUCAGAAGUGGAGCCUGAAGAUUAAACUGAAUUGCUGCAAUCUCAUGAUAAAACUUGAACAGAUGAGGAGUUGCUUCUUACAGGUCUGUGGAUCAACACUGUCUCCCUGGCCUCUACCCAGCGCGCAGGACCCCUUAGCAGAGCAGGAGAACUCAGGUUGGAACUCAUUAUUGCAUGGUGCUUGUCUUGCCAUCUGUCCCCAUAAUGCCUUAAGUGACAAUGACAUAGGCAUCUGACAAUGUAUGUGGCCAUCACUUUUUAUCAUUUUAAGAUAUAUGGGCCUUCUUUUUCCAACUCUUUUCCCCCGCCAGACAGCCAGGAGCCCAGAGAAGGGUUGUGUUGUGUCCUUUACUGAGCCCCACAGGCCUGUGUGAGCCAGGGGCUUGGCAUGCCUGGGAAUAAGAGCGCCAGCCUUUGGCCUUCCCGCAGCCUCUCCUUGGGGCCUUUAGGGUCCCCACAGGCCCUCCCCUCCCCUCUGCAUUUUCCAGGAUCCAGCCAGCUGCCGGCACACUUUCGUCCUCCUCCGCACACGAGGAUCCCCAGGCCCAGCGGUGUUAGCCCAGAGAGGAGCGGCGUUUGGGAUGUGAUCCACAGCUGAUCCCUCGUGGCCCCUCCUCUCCCGAAUCCUGAAACAUGAGGAGGCCCUUCAGCUGCUGGCUCGGAGUCCGACUAUGGGAACUUUCUCCGGUCUACGGGGGCAGCAAGGGUCUCGCCUCAGGGACUUGGUUUAUUUAUCUAGCUGGACUCCAUCCCUUAAUAUCCUACUUACAGAGGAAGAGGCUUUAGCAGCUAAAUGCAGCCCCAUCCCCUCCUGUGGAGACUGUGAGCAGAAAAAGAACAGAUAUUUACAGAGGCCCGAGCCCCCCUUGUUGUUUUCUGCAAGGCUGUCGAGCUGGUGGAGCUUCAGGAUCCUGGUCAGGAACCCCGAACCCAGCGCUGGAGGCCCUGAAGAUCAGGGCACCCGACCCUCUUCCCAGCCGCCAAAGGCCUGUGUUGGUCUGAUUGUGGAUUCCAAGCUCUAAUUUCCAUCCAUCCUCCCAAUCCGAAUUCCCUUUGCAGACAUAAACACCAUCAGCAAUGUAGAGAAUGUGUUUCCUCAUCUUUGAAUAUUAACACUCAUCUGUUUAAUUGAGCUACUUUUUACAUACAUGUAAGAUGUGCUGCAAUUGCAAAAGAAACAUGUGCUUCGUGUUCUAUAAGCCAUAUCUUCCGCAAGACCUGCCAUCAAAUGAUUGCUCAAACAUUUGUUGAAUGGGAUGAGCAAUGGAGGUUCAGACAGGUGCCCUGACCUACCCAGGCUGGAGGGUAGGGAGCUAGAAAUUCAUACAACCAUGCCUUGUUCUACUUGUUUUGUGAAAGAAUCAUGUGACCAGUGACAAAGAGGCUGGGCAGCUGGGUCAGGCAGCAGGGACAGCGACUGAGCUGGGGGGACUACAGUGCUGUGCUCCUCUGCACCCGUGCUGGGAUGUCUGAGGCCAAGCUGACACUGGCCCCCCACAAUCCCUUGGGGCUGCUCCUCCUCAGGGAGUGGCUCUCCGGGUUUCCUGCUUGACUCCUGCUGCUCUUGUGUUGAAGGGCCGUCUCUGGGCAGCUCCCCCUGGCCCCUGGCCAGAGAGCCAGGCCCUGUCAGGCACGCACAUGGAGGAUGAGGGAGGUGCAGUUGUUUUCACAGGUGCAGACUCUAGAGGGACCCCACGUGGACUCUGUGGCUUCUGCCCCGACGCACUCGCGGGAGGACACAGCUCUGCCCGGAAGGGAGAGUGCUGAGCUGGGUCCCUGCUGCUCAUCUCUGUGGCAUCACCCUGUCAGUCCUUCCCUGUCACACAUAUGUUCCGCAAGACCUGCCGUCAAAUAUUUGCUCAGUCAAACAUUUGUUGAAUGGGAUGAGCCAUGGAGGUUCAGACAGAUGCCGUGACCUGAAGUGUCAAAUGAAGGGAUGCGUGUGUGAUGGCCUUCACCAUUUAUAUUGUUUUAAACUUGCUAAGCACUAGUUAAAAUAAAAAAGCCAACACUUUUCUUUACAUUUUUACUCUCUCUCUUUCUAACAUAUAGUAUGUAAAAAGAAAAAUCUUGGCU